AUACGGAGGGUGCAAGCGUUAUCCGGAUUCAUUGGGUUUAAAGGGUACGUAGGCGGAUAGAUAAGUUAGUGGUGAAAUCCCGAAGCUCAACUUCGGAACUGCCAUUAAAACUGUCUAUCUUGAAUUUGGUUGAAGUGGGCGGAAUAUGACAUGUAGCGGUGAAAUGCAUAGAUAUGUCAUGGAACACCAAUAGUGAAGACAGCUCACUAAGCCAAUAUUGACGCUGAGGUACGAAAGCAUGGGUAGCGAACAGGAUUAGAAACCCGGGUAGUCC
RNAcentral lists this ribosomal RNA (274 nucleotides) under uncultured bacterium. RNAcentral describes it as "partial 16S ribosomal RNA". It matches the Rfam family "Bacterial small subunit ribosomal RNA", at positions 523 to 796 of the family's 1533-position model. The record is from RNAcentral.